Molecule: ribosomal RNA, 1471 nt
Filed under: Staphylococcus argenteus
Lineage: Bacteria; Bacillati; Bacillota; Bacilli; Caryophanales; Staphylococcaceae
Description: partial 23S ribosomal RNA
Rfam family: Bacterial large subunit ribosomal RNA
Source: RNAcentral
AGAUUAAGUUAUUAAGGGCGCACGGUGGAUGCCUUGGCACUAGAAGCCGAUGAAGGACGUUACUAACGACGAUAUGCUUUGGGGAGCUGUAAGUAAGCUUUGAUCCAGAGAUUUCCGAAUGGGGAAACCCAACAUGAGUUAUGUCAUGUUAUCGAUAUGUGAAUACAUAGCAUAUCAGAAGGCACACCCGGAGAACUGAAACAUCUUAGUACCCGGAGGAAGAGAAAGAAAAUUCGAUUCCCUUAGUAGCGGCGAGCGAAACGGGAAGAGCCCAAACCAACAAGCUUGCUUGUUGGGGUUGUAGGACACUCUAUACGGAGUUACAAAGGACGACAUUAGACGAAUCAUCUGGAAAGAUGAAUCAAAGAAGGUAAUAAUCCUGUAGUCGAAAAUGUUGUCUCUCUUGAGUGGAUCCUGAGUACGACGGAGCACGUGAAAUUCCGUCGGAAUCUGGGAGGACCAUCUCCUAAGGCUAAAUACUCUCUAGUGACCGAUAGUGAACCAGUACCGUGAGGGAAAGGUGAAAAGCACCCCGGAAGGGGAGUGAAAUAGAACCUGAAACCGUGUGCUUACAAGUAGUCAGAGCCCGUUAAUGGGUGAUGGCGUGCCUUUUGUAGAAUGAACCGGCGAGUUACGAUUUGAUGCAAGGUUAAGCAGUAAAUGUGGAGCCGUAGCGAAAGCGAGUCUGAAUAGGGCGUUUAGUAUUUGGUCGUAGACCCGAAACCAGGUGAUCUACCCUUGGUCAGGUUGAAGUUCAGGUAACACUGAAUGGAGGACCGAACCGACUUACGUUGAAAAGUGAGCGGAUGAACUGAGGGUAGCGGAGAAAUUCCAAUCGAACCUGGAGAUAGCUGGUUCUCUCCGAAAUAGCUUUAGGGCUAGCCUCAAGUGAUGAUUAUUGGAGGUAGAGCACUGUUUGGACGAGGGGCCCCUCUCGGGUUACCGAAUUCAGACAAACUCCGAAUGCCAAUUAAUUUAACUUGGGAGUCAGAACAUGGGUGAUAAGGUCCGUGUUCGAAAGGGAAACAGCCCAGACCACCAGCUAAGGUCCCAAAAUAUAUGUUAAGUGGAAAAGGAUGUGGCGUUGCCCAGACAACUAGGAUGUUGGCUUAGAAGCAGCCAUCAUUUAAAGAGUGCGUAAUAGCUCACUAGUCGAGUGACACUGCGCCGAAAAUGUACCGGGGCUAAACAUAUUACCGAAGCUGUGGAUUGUCCUUUGGACAAUGGUAGGAGAGCGUUCUAAGGGCGUUGAAGCAUGAUCGUAAGGACAUGUGGAGCGCUUAGAAGUGAGAAUGCCGGUGUGAGUAGCGAAAGACGGGUGAGAAUCCCGUCCACCGAUUGACUAAGGUUUCCAGAGGAAGGCUCGUCCGCUCUGGGUUAGUCGGGUCCUAAGCUGAGGCCGACAGGCGUAGGCGAUGGAUAACAGGUUGAUAUUCCUGUACCACCUAUAAUCGUUUUAAUCGAUGGGGGG